Molecule: transfer RNA, 72 nt
Organism: Nicotiana attenuata
Lineage: Eukaryota; Viridiplantae; Streptophyta; Magnoliopsida; Solanales; Solanaceae
Rfam family: tRNA
About the family: Transfer RNA (tRNA) molecules are approximately 80 nucleotides in length.
Source: Rfam
UGGGGCGUGGCUAAGUUGUACGGCAACGGGUUUUGGUCCCGCAAUUUGGAGGUUCGAAUCCUUCCAUCCCAG